This 588-nucleotide ribosomal RNA is filed under the name uncultured bacterium. RNAcentral's name for it is "partial 16S ribosomal RNA". It matches the Rfam family "Bacterial small subunit ribosomal RNA", at positions 355 to 1376 of the family's 1533-position model. The record is from RNAcentral.
UGGGGAAUAUUGCACAAUGGGCGCAAGCCUGAUGCAGCCAUGCCGCGUGUGUGAAGAAGGCCUUCGGGUUGUAAAGCACUUUUGUCCGGAAAGAAAUCCUUGGCUCUAAUACAGUCGGGGGAUGACGGUACCGGAAGAAUAAGCACCGGCUAACUACGUGCCAGCAGCCGCGGUAAUACGUAGGGUGCAAGCGUUAAUCGGAAUUACUGGGCGUAAAGCGUGCGCAGGCGGUUUGCUAAGACCGAUGUGAAAUCCCCGGGCUCAACCUGGGAACUGCAUUGGUGACUGGCAGGCUAGAGUAUGGCAGAGGGGGGUAGAAUUCCACGUGUAGCAGUGAAAUGCGUAGAGAUGUGGAGGAAUACCGAUGGCGAAGGCAGCCCCCUGGGCCAAUACUGACGCUCAUGCACGAAAGCGUGGGGAGCAAACAGGAUUAGAUACCCCUGGUAGUCCACGCCCUAAACGAUGUCAACUAGUUGUUGGGGAUUCAUUUCCUUAGUAACGUAGCUAACGCGUGAAGUUGGACCGCCUGGGGAGUACGGUCGCAAGAUUAAAACUCAAAGGAAUUGACGGGGUCAUAGCUGUUUCCUG